Molecule: small RNA, 76 nt
Filed under: Flavobacterium nitrogenifigens
Lineage: Bacteria; Pseudomonadati; Bacteroidota; Flavobacteriia; Flavobacteriales; Flavobacteriaceae
Description: Flavo-1 RNA
Rfam family: Flavo-1 RNA
Source: RNAcentral
UCCUAGCCCCGAUCGAAAUGGUAUCCUUUUAUGCCGGGGUUCGGCAUAAAAGAUAUAAUGUAGAGCGGGACAAAUG